RNAcentral lists this transfer RNA (66 nucleotides) under Chondracris rosea. RNAcentral's name for it is "tRNA-Ala". Lineage: Eukaryota; Metazoa; Arthropoda; Insecta; Orthoptera; Acrididae. The record is from RNAcentral.
AGGGCUGUAGUUAAAUAUAACAUUUGGGUUGCAUUCAAAAAGUAUUGAAAUUAUCAAUUAGCCUUA